GCCGCAAGGUUAAAACUCAAAUGAAUUGACGGGGGCCCGCACAAGCGGUGGAGCAUGUGGUUUAAUUCGAUGCAACGCGAAGAACCUUACCUGGUCUUGACAUCCACGGAAGUUUUCAGAGAUGAGAAUGUGCCUUCGGGAACCGUGAGACAGGUGCUGCAUGGCUGUCGUCAGCUCGUGUUGUGAAAUGUUGGGUUAAGUCCCGCAACGAGCGCAACCCUUAUCCUUUGUUGCCAGCGGUCCGGCCGGGAACUCAAAGGAGACUGCCAGUGAUAAACUGGAGGAAGGUGGGGAUGACGUCAAGUCAUCAUGGCCCUUACGACCAGGGCUACACACGUGCUACAAUGGCGCAUACAAAGAGAAGCGACCUCGCGAGAGCAAGCGGACCUCAUAAAGUGCGUCGUAGUCCGGAUUGGAGUCUGCAACUCGACUCCAUGAAGUCGGAAUCGCUAGUAAUCGUGGAUCAGAAUGCCACGGUGAAUACGUUCCCGGGCCUUGUACACACCGCCCGUCACACCAUGGGAGUGGGUUGCAAAAGAAGUAGGUAGCUUAACCUUCGGGAGGGCGCUUACCACUUUGUGAUUCAUGACUGGGGUGAAGUCGUAACAAGGUAACCGUAGGGGAACCUGCGGUUGGAUCACCUCCUUA
RNAcentral lists this ribosomal RNA (648 nucleotides) under Escherichia coli. RNAcentral describes it as "bacterial SSU rRNA". It matches the Rfam family "Bacterial small subunit ribosomal RNA", at positions 885 to 1533 of the family's 1533-position model. RNAcentral also lists the same sequence under 1 other name. The record is from RNAcentral. Lineage: Bacteria; Pseudomonadati; Pseudomonadota; Gammaproteobacteria; Enterobacterales; Enterobacteriaceae.